Molecule: non-coding RNA, 438 nt
Organism: Caretta caretta (loggerhead turtle)
Lineage: Eukaryota; Metazoa; Chordata; Testudines; Cheloniidae
Source: RefSeq, a predicted model, not a curated record
GCACUCGCGUCUCACUGCUGUGCGGCAGGGCAGGUAUAACCGUCAGGCUCAAGCCACGGCUUCGUAGCAAGCUUCCUGUCGCAACGUCUCUACAGAGGCUGCUGAAGUGCCUGAAAGGGGUUAUGUACUGGAUCCCAGGCUGGCUGUUGUCUGAAGUCUGGAGGAAGCAAAGGAUUCUCUAGGGACUCUGACCUUGUGGGAGCAAGUGACUGGUUUGAAAGUCAGUGUGACGCUGUUGCUGGGAACAGAUCAGGAAUGCAGACAGACACUAACAGAAGUUCUGAGACUGUAAGUAACCAAAAGGAAAUCUAGCUAAAGUGGCUGAUAAAAAUAAGCUGUGCUCAAUGGAAUGUAUACUCCUGUUUUGUGUCUUUUUGUAGGUUAAGAUGUAGCCUAUAGGGAUUCAUGAUGUUUUGAAUCUGAUGUGAUCAUUCUUAC